RNAcentral lists this ribosomal RNA (374 nucleotides) under uncultured bacterium. RNAcentral describes it as "bacterial SSU rRNA". It matches the Rfam family "Bacterial small subunit ribosomal RNA", at positions 524 to 898 of the family's 1533-position model. The record is from RNAcentral.
GACGGAGGGUGCUAGCGUUGUUCGGAAUGACUGGGCGUAAAGGGCGCGUAGGCGGCUCGUGAAGUCGGGUGUGAAAGCCCGGGGCUCAACCCCGGAACGGCAUCCGAUACUGGCGGGCUUGAGACCGGGAGAGGAGGGUGGAAUACCCAGUGUAGAGGUGAAAUUCGUAGAUAUUGGGUGGAACACCGGUGGCGAAAGCGGCUCUCUGGCCCGGAUCUGACGCUGAGGCGCGAAAGCGUGGGGAGCAAACAGGAUUAGAUACCCUGGUAGUCCACGCCCUAAACGAUGUGCGCUAGAUGUCGGGGGGCUUGCCCCUCGGUGUCGGAGCUAACGUGUUAAGCGCACCGCCUGGGAAGUACGGCCGCAAGGUUAAA